Molecule: ribosomal RNA, 398 nt
Filed under: uncultured bacterium
Lineage: Bacteria
Description: partial 16S ribosomal RNA
Rfam family: Bacterial small subunit ribosomal RNA
Source: RNAcentral
AUACGUAGGGUGCGAGCGUUGUCCGGAAUUACUGGGCGUAAAGAGCUCGUAGGUGGUUUGUCGCGUCGUCUGUGAAAUUCCGGGGCUUAACUCCGGGCGUGCAGGCGAUACGGGCAUAACUUGAGUACUGUAGGGGAGACUGGAAUUCCUGGUGUAGCGGUGAAAUGCGCAGAUAUCAGGAGGAACACCGGUGGCGAAGGCGGGUCUCUGGGCAGUAACUGACGCUGAGGAGCGAAAGCAUGGGUAGCGAACAGGAUUAGAUACCCUGGUAGUCCAUGCCGUAAACGGUGGGCGCUAGGUGUAGGGGUCUUCCACGACUUCUGUGCCGUAGCUAACGCAUUAAGCUCCCCGCCUGGGGAGUACGGCCGCAAGGCUAAAACUCAAAUGAAUUGACGGGG